This is a long non-coding RNA of Rhipicephalus sanguineus (brown dog tick), 481 nucleotides long. RefSeq lists it as uncharacterized. The transcript is spliced from 5 exons. Lineage: Eukaryota; Metazoa; Arthropoda; Arachnida; Ixodida; Ixodidae. The record is from RefSeq and is a predicted model, not a curated record.
ACGCCUGCGUCCCCGGUGGCGCAGGUGUGAAGACCGUUUAUUUAUAUCGUAUAUGCUCGGUAGAAUAUUUUUCAGAAUAUGCGCUUUGGCCAACGCGACCGCAUUGCUAUGAUAAAACUUGCUUUGCUUCCAUAAUCACUCAAUACUAGCUUUAUCGAAAGAGGUGACAAUAUGAAACCGCGGUUCUUCCUGUUCUUCACGGCAUGUCUGUGGACGCUGCGCUGCUGCAGCUCCGGCCCUGAAUUUAACGUCACAGAUUAUUAUACCCUCACAGUUAAGAGAGUAAGAAAGUUACUGCAACAGAGCGACUACAUCCGCGUAGCUGAUGGAAUUUACUCUCAACACAACUACCCCACGUGCGUGAGGUCUCAUUUCCAUGAAUACACGAUCGCUGGAUUUAAACACGCCUUAAGCUACGUCGCACAGGGGUUACCAAAAAACCUUGUUCAAAGUGAAAUCAGAAAAACCACCACUUCUCAUU